CGGGACGGGUGAGUAAUGUCGGGGAAACCGCCCGAUGGAGGGGGAUAACUACUGGAAACGGUAGCUAAUACCGCAUAACGUCGCAAGACCAAAGAGGGGGACCUUCGGGCCUCUUGCCAUCGGAUGUGCCCAGAUGGGAUUAGCUAGUAGGUGGGGUAACGGCUCACCUAGGCGACGAUCCCUAGCUGGUCUGAGAGGAUGACCAGCCACACUGGAACUGAGACACGGUCCAG
This 233-nucleotide ribosomal RNA is filed under the name uncultured bacterium. Its description in RNAcentral is "partial 16S ribosomal RNA". It matches the Rfam family "Bacterial small subunit ribosomal RNA", at positions 100 to 334 of the family's 1533-position model. The record is from RNAcentral.